ACGGGGCCAGCAGGCGCGAAAACUUUACAAUGCGGGAAACCGCGAUAAGGGGACACCGAGUGCCAGCAUUUAUGUUGGCUGUCCACAUGUGUAAACGGCAUGUGUUAGCAAGGGCCGGGCAAGACCGGUGCCAGCCGCCGCGGUAACACCGGCGGCCCGAGUGGUAAUCACUUUUAUUGGGUCUAAAGGGUCCGUAGCCGGUUUGAUCAGUUCUUCGGGAAAUCUGACAGCUCAACUGUUAGGCUUCCGGGGAAUACUGUCAGACUUGGGACCGGGAGAGGUAAGAGGUACUACAGGGGUAGGAGUGAAAUCUUGUAAUCCCUGUGGGACCACCAGUGGCGAAGGCGUCUUACCAGAACGGGUCCGACGGUGAGGGACGAAAGCUGGGGGCACGAACCGGAUUAGAUACCCGGGUAGUCCCAGCCGUAAACGAUGUUCGCUAGGUGUCAGGGGCGGUGCGACCGCUUCUGGGUGCCGUAGGGAAGCCGUGAAGCGAACCACCUGGGAAAGUACGGCCGCA
RNAcentral lists this ribosomal RNA (520 nucleotides) under uncultured archaeon. RNAcentral's name for it is "bacterial SSU rRNA". It matches the Rfam family "Archaeal small subunit ribosomal RNA", at positions 325 to 845 of the family's 1478-position model. The record is from RNAcentral.